CUACGUGCCAGCAGCCGCGGUAAUACGUAGGGUGCGAGCGUUAAUCGGAAUUACUGGGCGUAAAGCGGGCGCAGACGGUUACUUAAGCAGGAUGUGAAAUCCCCGGGCUCGACCUGGGAACUGCGUUCUGAACUGGGUGACUAGAGUGUGUCAGAGGGAGGUAGAAUUCCACGUGUAGCAGUGAAAUGCGUAGAGAUGUGGAGGAAUACCGAUGGCGAAGGCAGCCUCCUGGGAUAACACUGACGUUCAUGCCCGAAAGCGUGGGUAGCAAACAGGAUUAGAUACCCUGGUAGUCCACGCCGUAAACGAUGUCGAUUUGGAGGUUGUGCCCUUGAGGCGUGGCUUCCGGAGCUAACGCGUUAAAUCGACCGCCUGGGGAGUACGGCCGCAAGGUUAAAACUCAAAUGAAUUGACGGGGGCCCGCACAAGCGGUGGAGCAUGUGGUUUAAUUCGAUGCAACGCGAAGAACCUUACCUACUCUUGAC
This 485-nucleotide ribosomal RNA is filed under the name uncultured bacterium. RNAcentral describes it as "bacterial SSU rRNA". It matches the Rfam family "Bacterial small subunit ribosomal RNA", at positions 501 to 985 of the family's 1533-position model. The record is from RNAcentral.